This 495-nucleotide ribosomal RNA is filed under the name uncultured bacterium. RNAcentral describes it as "partial 16S ribosomal RNA". It matches the Rfam family "Bacterial small subunit ribosomal RNA", at positions 28 to 505 of the family's 1533-position model. The record is from RNAcentral.
GAUGAACGCUGGCGGCGUGCCUAAUACAUGCAAGUCGAGCGAACAGACGAGGAGCUUGCUCCUCUGACGUUAGCGGCGGACGGGUGAGUAACACGUGGAUAACCUACCUAUAAGACUGGGAUAACUUCGGGAAACCGGAGCUAAUACCGGAUAAUAUAUUGAACCGCAUGGUUCAAUAGUGAAAGACGGUUUUGCUGUCACUUAUAGAUGGAUCCGCGCCGCAUUAGCUAGUUGGUAAGGUAACGGCUCACCAAGGCAACGAUGCGUAGCCGACCUGAGAGGGUGAUCGGCCACACUGGAAAUGAGGAGCGGGCGAGACUGGUACGGGAGGCAGCAGUAGGGAAGCGGCCGCAAUGGGCGAAAGCCUGACGGAGCAACGGCGCGUGAGUGAUGAAGGUCUGCGGAGCGUAAAACGCUGUGAGGAGGGAAGAACAAAUGUGGAAGGAACGAGGCACGUCUGGAGGGGAGCGAAGCAGAAAGCGACGGGUAACGACG